This 491-nucleotide ribosomal RNA is filed under the name uncultured bacterium. RNAcentral describes it as "partial 16S ribosomal RNA". It matches the Rfam family "Bacterial small subunit ribosomal RNA", at positions 29 to 507 of the family's 1533-position model. The record is from RNAcentral.
AGUGAACGCUGGCGGUAGGCCUAACACAUGCAAGUCGAACGGCAGCACAGUAAGAGCUUGCUCUUACGGGUGGCGAGUGGCGGACGGGUGAGGAAUACAUCGGAAUCUACUUUUUCGUGGGGGAUAACGUAGGGAAACUUACGCUAAUACCGCAUACGACCUACGGGUGAAAGCAGGGGAUCUUCGGACCUUGCGCGAUUGAAUGAGCCGAUGUCGGAUUAGCUAGUUGGCGGGGUAAAGGCCCACCAAGGCGACGAUCCGUAGCUGGUCUGAGAGGAUGAUCAGCCACACUGGAACUGAGACACGGUCCAGACUCCUACGGGAGGCAGCAGUGGGGAAUAUUGGACAAUGGGCGCAAGCCUGAUCCAGCCAUACCGCGGGGUGAAGAAGGCCUUCGGGUUGUAAAGCCCUUUUGUUGGGAAAGAAAAGCAGCAGGUUAAUACCCCGCUGUUCUGACGGUACCCAAAGAAUAAGCACCGGCUAACUUCGUG